This 423-nucleotide ribosomal RNA is filed under the name uncultured prokaryote. RNAcentral describes it as "bacterial SSU rRNA". It matches the Rfam family "Bacterial small subunit ribosomal RNA", at positions 355 to 796 of the family's 1533-position model. The record is from RNAcentral.
UGGGGAAUCUUGGACAAUGGGGGCGACCCUGAUCCAGCGACGCCGCGUGGGUGGUAAGGCCUUCGGGUUGUAAAGCCCUUUCGCCAGGGAAGAUAAUGACGGUACCUGGUAAAGAAACCCCGGCUAACUCCGUGCCAGCAGCCGCGGUAAUACGGAGGGGGUUAGCGUUGUUCGGAAUUACUGGGCGUAAAGCGCACGUAGGCGGACCAGUCAGUCAGAGGUGAAAUCCCGGGGCUCAACCUCGGAACUGCCUUUGAUACUGCUGGUCUUGAGUUCGAGAGAGGUGAGUGGAAUUCCGAGUGUAGAGGUGAAAUUCGUAGAUAUUCGGAGGAACACCAGUGGCGAAGGCGGCUCACUGGCUCGAUACUGACGCUGAGGUGCGAAAGCGUGGGGAGCAAACAGGAUUAGAUACCCCCGUAGUCC